Molecule: ribosomal RNA, 480 nt
Filed under: uncultured bacterium
Lineage: Bacteria
Description: bacterial SSU rRNA
Rfam family: Bacterial small subunit ribosomal RNA
Source: RNAcentral
CAAUGGGCGGAAGCCUGAUGCAGCGACGCCGCGUGAGGGAUGACGGCCUUCGGGUUGUAAACCUCUUUCAGCAGGGAAGAAGCGUGAGUGACGGUACCUGCAGAAGAAGCACCGGCUAACUACGUGCCAGCAGCCGCGGUAAUACGUAGGGUGCGAGCGUUGUCCGGAAUUAUUGGGCGUAAAGAGCUCGUAGGCGGCUUGUCGCGUCGGAUGUGAAAGCCCGGGGCUUAACCCCGGGUCUGCAUUCGAUACGGGCAGGCUAGAGUUCGGUAGGGGAGAUCGGAAUUCCUGGUGUAGCGGUGAAAUGCGCAGAUAUCAGGAGGAACACCGGUGGCGAAGGCGGAUCUCUGGGCCGAUACUGACGCUGAGGAGCGAAAGCGUGGGGAGCGAACAGGAUUAGAUACCCUGGUAGUCCACGCCGUAAACGUUGGGAACUAGGUGUGGGCGACAUUCCACGUCGUCCGUGCCGCAGCUAACGCA